RNAcentral lists this ribosomal RNA (371 nucleotides) under uncultured bacterium. Its description in RNAcentral is "bacterial SSU rRNA". It matches the Rfam family "Bacterial small subunit ribosomal RNA", at positions 527 to 896 of the family's 1533-position model. The record is from RNAcentral.
AGAGGGUGCGAGCGUUGUCCGGAAUCACUGGGCGUAAAGGGCGCGUAGGCGGUUUUGUAAGUUGGGGGUGAAAUGCUGCGGCUCAACCGCAGCGCUGCCCUCAAGACUGCAAGACUGGAGCACUGUAGAGGCAGGCGGAAUUCCGGGUGUAGCGGUGGAAUGCGUAGAGAUCCGGAAGAACACCGGUGGCGAAGGCGGCCUGCUGGGCAGUUGCUGACACUGAGGCGCGACAGCGUGGGGAGCAAACAGGAUUAGAUACCCUGGUAGUCCACGCCGUAAACGAUGGGCACUAGGCGCUUGGGGGAGCGACCCCCCGAGGGCCGGCGCUAACGCAUUAAGUGCCCCGCCUGGGGAGUACGGCCGCAAGGCUG